UAAGGUCCAACGACAGGAUCAUGAUGAGGGAAUGUGUUACCCUCACGCUGCUGGGAUGUCGGCUUCAUGGCUUCCAGAGAGCGACCGUUGUA
This 92-nucleotide non-coding RNA is filed under the name Methylobacterium sp. 4-46. RNAcentral describes it as "Methylobacterium-1 RNA". It matches the Rfam family "Methylobacterium-1 RNA". The record is from Rfam by way of RNAcentral. Lineage: Bacteria; Pseudomonadati; Pseudomonadota; Alphaproteobacteria; Hyphomicrobiales; Methylobacteriaceae.